GACGAACGCUGGCGGCGUGCCUAAUACAUGCAAGUCGAACGCAUUUUCUUUCACCGUUGCUUGCUACACCGAAAGAAAGUGGGUGGCGACCGGUUGAGUAACACGUGGGUAACCUGCCCAUCAGCGGGGGAUAACACUUGGAAACAGGUGCUAAUACCGCAUAAUUCCAUUUACCGCCUGGUAGUUGGCUGAAAGGCGCUUUUGCGUCACUGAUGGAUGGACCCGCGGUGCAUUAGCUAGUGGGUGGGGUGACGGCCUACCAAGGCUGCGAUGCAUAGCCGACCGGAGAGGGGGAGCGGCCACACUGGGACGGAGACACGGCCCAGACCCCUACGGGAGGCAGCAGUAGGGAACCUUCGGCGAUGGACGCAAGUCUGACCGAGCAACGCCGCGUGAGUGAAGAAGGUUUUCGGAUUGUAAAACUCUGUUGUUAGAGAAGAACAAGGAUGAGAGUGGAAAGUGCAGCCCUUGACGGUACCUAACCAGAAAGCCACGGCUAACUACGUG
This 507-nucleotide ribosomal RNA is filed under the name uncultured bacterium. RNAcentral describes it as "partial 16S ribosomal RNA". It matches the Rfam family "Bacterial small subunit ribosomal RNA", at positions 28 to 507 of the family's 1533-position model. The record is from RNAcentral.